CUACCAUGCAGUCGAGCGGUAGAGAGAAGCUUGCUUCUCUUGAGAGCGGCGGACGGGUGAGUAAUGCCUAGGAAUCUGCCUGGUAGUGGGGGAUAACGUUCGGAAACGGACGCUAAUACCGCAUACGUCCUACGGGAGAAAGCAGGGGACCUUCGGGCCUUGCGCUAUCAGAUGAGCCUAGGUCGGAUUAGCUAGUUGGUGGGGUAAUGGCUCACCAAGGCGACGAUCCGUAACUGGUCUGAGAGGAUGAUCAGUCACACUGGAACUGAGACACGGUCCAGACUCCUACGGGAGGCAGCAGUGGGGAAUAUUGGACAAUGGGCGAAAGCCUGAUCCAGCCAUGCCGCGUGUGUGAAGAAGGUCUUCGGAUUGUAAAGCACUUUAAGUUGGGAGGAAGGGUUGUAGAUUAAUACUCUGCAAUUUUGACGUUACCGACAGAAUAAGCACCGGCUAACUCUGUGCCAGCAGCCGCGGUAAUACAGAGGGUGCAAGCGUUAAUCGGAAUUACUGGGCGUAAAGCGCGCGUAGGUGGUUUGUUAAGUUGGAUGUGAAAUCCCCGGGCUCAACCUGGGAACUGCAUUCAAAACUGACUGACUAGAGUAUGGUAGAGGGUGGUGGAAUUUCCUGUGUAGCGGUGAAAUGCGUAGAUAUAGGAAGGAACACCAGUGGCGAAGGCGACCACCUGGACUAAUACUGACACUGAGGUGCGAAAGCGUGGGGAGCAAACAGGAUUAGAUACCCUGGUAGUCCACGCCGUAAACGAUGUCAACUAGCCGUUGGAAGCCUUGAGC
Molecule: ribosomal RNA, 791 nt
Filed under: Pseudomonas sp. Y4_579_2
Lineage: Bacteria; Pseudomonadati; Pseudomonadota; Gammaproteobacteria; Pseudomonadales; Pseudomonadaceae
Description: bacterial SSU rRNA
Rfam family: Bacterial small subunit ribosomal RNA
Source: RNAcentral